RNAcentral lists this long non-coding RNA (3201 nucleotides) under Hordeum vulgare. RNAcentral's name for it is "long non-coding RNA (HVUL_LNC002704)". The record is from RNAcentral. Lineage: Eukaryota; Viridiplantae; Streptophyta; Magnoliopsida; Poales; Poaceae.
GUACGAGUCGUUCAUUUAUCAAAAAAUAAAAGCGGCCAACCUGAGCAGUUCCCCGUUUACAAAAAUAUUCUUUGACCCUGAUAUCAUUCACCUGUCAUGUUUCAAAAACUACCUAAUCUCUUCUUCUUAAUUAUUCCGAUUCAGCCUAAUAUAGCGACGACAAUAUUUACGUGUAUGGUUUGAAAAAUAAUCGAACCGAGUUGCAGGCUUUACCUAAUAUAAAUCAUACAUACUUCACCCCCGAUCUCUAGUGCAGUGAUCUAUUUUGUCCGGCGCAACUAGACUUCAAUUGACAAACUUGGUCCACUUGCUGAAAAAGCUUAGCACCGCCCAGGUCUAAAUCUAUGUCCAAAGAGUGCAAAUAAUGUUGUCAUCGAAUGCGGGCCGGAAUUUCCUUCCUAGUCACGCAAGAAAGCAUAUCCAAUGUUACGUAUGCGACGGGUGGCCAUUGGAUGCAAACAACCUUGAAGAUCUAAGUAAAGCACUUCUAUAACUACAUGAUCUAGACUCAUUUCUUCAGUAUUCUUCUAAUGCCUCAUCUUAAUUAUCCCGUGCCUUUCAACUGUAUACUCAUCUCAUCACACAGUCGGGACCAAUUAUCCUCCCUGAAUCAGGUCUCCUUGUAAAGCAAUGGUCCUUUUAUAAUGGUGAAAAAGAACUUCUUCACACCAUCCAUACCUUAUGGAAUGCUCUCAUCUCACGUCCUGCAUGACAAUAAUGUUGAACCGAUGAAGCUAUCCGUGUCCCAUGAACAUGACAAACUUGCUUUUUUUUCGAUAGGAACAUGACAAACUUUAGUUGAGCUAAUUAUCAUAACGGUUCAAUGCUUGAAUAUAUCAUAAAAAAACUUAUUGUGAAAUAUAUCUUCUCAUAGGGCAAGUUAUUUUGCUUCGAGAAAUAUUUACGUGUUUCUUCGGAGCAGUUAAGUUCGUGUGCUUUCUGCCAUCUCAACGAGGCAAAUCCAGUUGGGCGUGUGUAUAUUUCAAGUUUCAGAAAUCCCCUACCUAUUAUGAAAACAAAUAGAUCAGUUGAUUGCAACAUGUGAAGUGUGCUUCAGUCGGUUUUACCGUGAAUUGAAGGUACUCCCUCCGUUUUUAAAUAUAAAUCUUUUAGAGUUUUCACUAAGAGGCUACGAACGAAGCAAAAUGAAUGAAUAUAUAUUCUAAAGUAUGUCUAUGUUCAUCCGUAUGUAGUUUUUUUAAUAAAACCUCUAAAGAAUUUGUAUUUAGGAACGGAGGGAGUAAUCGCUCAUGCAACAAGAAUUAAUCCAAAGUUGUGGUAUCACUAAAUCUGACGGAUGUGAUAUGAGUGGCACAUGCUAUCUCGCCCUGAGUACGGCAACAAUAAUUAAGAUGAGAACAUUUUCCAUUGCCACUCACUUCGCCAACCUAGGCUUACGUCCCCUUCAGGGGGCGGCUCGGGCGAAACCUAGCCGCCACCACCCCCGACCCUCCUUUCCUCCUUGCUUCCCCGCCGUCGUCCGAGGAGGCCGGCGAGCGAAGCUUGCCUGGCGGAUGGCGGACGGCGAGCUCUCCCACUAGUAGAAAACAGGGUUUUCGUCCCAGCUCGAUUUAUACAUUAGUCCUGGUUUCAUUACGAACCGGGACCAAUGUUAGCAUUAGUUCCGGUUCGAGCGGCAAGGGCGCCGGUCGGGCAUCAAUUUCGGUUCAAAUGGGACCUUUAGUCCUGGUUCGUGUCUCGAACCGGGACUAAAGAGGUUGGAGGCUUUAGUCCCGGUUCGUGUGUCGAACCGGGACUAAAGGGGUUCUGAAUUUUUGUUUUUUUUGUUUUUAAAUUUGUUUUCUGUUUGUAGUUUCUGUUUUAAAUUGCUUAUUUUUUUGGAUAUUUGAUGUUUUUGAGGGAUUCUUUUUGUCCUAGAUUCAAAAUUUUGGCUAGUUUCUGUUUGUGCCAUUAAUUUUCAAAUAUGAAUGGUUUAAAUUUGAAUUUGUUCAAAUUAGCUUCAAACCAGGAUUGUGAAUAACUUGAGUUUACAAAUAGUUUUAAUUUAAUUAUUUUUGUUCCUCGUCAUGUGUUAGAUUGUUGUCACAAUAAGCCUUAUUUGGUUAUUUUUAGAAUAAUUUAAAUUAGGAUUUUAAUUAAAACAAUAUUGUUUUGCUUAUAUAGUUGUUUUAGUCAUUUAAUUGUUAUUUUUUUGAAUUAUUUUUAGUUAGUUCUUUUUCAGUAGAUUUUAACAUGUUGUAGUAUGGUGCAUAUUGAAUGCACAAAAAGUCUGGAGUUGAAAUAAUUUUUAAAAAAUGCGUUUGUAACAGACGAGUUUUCCUCCCAAACCUUGAUACUUUGAAGAAGAUGGUCCAAUUUGUAAACGAAGUGCAUCCAAUUUUGUCGUAACCCUCUCUGAACUUUGUAUCACAUGCUAUGUGGGUGAAAUGAUGAUACCAUGCCAAGUUUCAACCUUUUCAGAGUUCAUUUGUCGGGCUUUUCAAUUUCAGGAUCAUUAAGCUAAAAAAAUAAUUAAAUGCAUGAAAAAUAGCAAAUGAAGUUAUAAAGGGUUGAAAUUUUAGGAUGUGGUUUUGAAAAUGGUGCAUAUUGAAUGCACAAAAAGUCUCGAGUGGAAAUAAUUUAAAAAAUACCUUUGUAACAGACGAGUUUUCGUCCGAAACCUUGAUACUUCGAAGGAGAUGAUCUAGUUUAUACACGAAGUGCAUCCAGUUUUUUCCGUAACCGUCUCAACUUUUUUGCACAAGCUAUGUGGGUGAAAUGAUGAUACCAUGCCAAGUUUCAACAUUUUCAGAGUUCAUUUAUAGUGUUUUUCAAUUUCAGUGUCAUUUAGCUCAAAAAAAUCUUUAAAUACAUGAAAAAUAGCAAAUGAAGUUAGAAAGGGUUGAAAUUUUAGGAUGUGGUUUUGAAUGAUGUAUAUUGAAUGCACGAAAUGUACACAAAGUCUAGAGUUGAAAUAAGUAAAAAAACAAAAUGUCUAAAUCUAUGUCCGAAUAGUGCAAAUAAUGUUGUCAUCGAAUGCGGGCUGGAAUUUUCUUCCUAGUCACCCAAGGAAGCAUAUGCACUUUUACGUAUGCGACGGGUGGCCAUUGGAUGCAAACAACCUUGAAGAUCUAAGUAAAGCACUUCUAUAACUACAUGAUCUAGACUCAUUUCUUCAGUAUUCUUCUAAUGCCUCAUCUUAAUUAUGCCGUGCCUUUCAACUUUAUACUCAUCUCAUCACAUAGUCGGGACCAAUUAUCC